GACCCCGGAUAGCGCAUAAAUGCUUGCGGUGUGUGCUCUUGGCAGGCCUUUCACGCCGGCAACACGGGUUCAAAUCCCGUCGGGGACGCCA
RNAcentral lists this transfer RNA (91 nucleotides) under Desulfobacteraceae bacterium. Its description in RNAcentral is "tRNA-Leu". Lineage: Bacteria; Pseudomonadati; Thermodesulfobacteriota; Desulfobacteria; Desulfobacterales; Desulfobacteraceae. The record is from RNAcentral.